UUCCAGUUGGAUAGAGGCAGGGCUGCCUAUUUGUCCUUCAUUAUACAAACCAUAAACACACACUGGUAUACCCAGAGCUUGUCCACUCUAAUCAUCUAUCAAGAAUUCCAGAUUCCUCAUGCGUUAUCCAAAGAUUUUUUUUAUUAUAACAUCCUUUCCUAAAAAUUUAUACAAACUAACUUCUGUUCUCAUCCUAUUCUCAUCUUUUCCCAACAGAACUGAAAAGACUGGGCUCCCAAAGAAGCGGGUUCUCUGUGCAGAUGUUCUUAUCUGGAGAUACAUCAGCCCCAAACAGACACAGCUU
This 304-nucleotide long non-coding RNA is filed under the name Parus major (Great Tit). RNAcentral's name for it is "lncRNA (ENSPMJG00000016048.1)". Lineage: Eukaryota; Metazoa; Chordata; Aves; Passeriformes; Paridae. The record is from RNAcentral.